Molecule: signal recognition particle RNA, 295 nt
Filed under: Pan paniscus (pygmy chimpanzee)
Lineage: Eukaryota; Metazoa; Chordata; Mammalia; Primates; Hominidae
Description: Metazoan signal recognition particle RNA (ENSPPAG00000016827.1)
Rfam family: Metazoan signal recognition particle RNA
About the family: The signal recognition particle (SRP) is a universally conserved ribonucleoprotein. It is involved in the co-translational targeting of proteins to membranes. The eukaryotic SRP consists of a 300-nucleotide 7S RNA and six proteins: SRPs 72, 68, 54, 19, 14, and 9.
Source: RNAcentral
GCCGGGCGUAGUGGCGGGCGCCUGUAGUCCCAGCUACUCAGGAGGCUGAGGCAGGAGAACGGCAUGAACCUGGGAGGCAGAGCUUGCAGUGAGCCGAGAUCGCGCCACUGCACUCCAGCCUGGGCGACAAAGCAAGACUCCGUCUCAAGGGGGAAAAAAAAAGCCAAUUCUUCAAAGCUAUAAUUUCUUUUUUUUGAAACAGGGUCUCACUCUGUCACCCAGAAUGGAGUGCAGUGGCAUGAUCUCAGCUCACUGCAACCUCUGCCUCCCAGGUUCAAAUGAUUCUCCUGCCUCA